CUCAAUCCUCCUAUGAGUAGAGCUGCAGGGUAAAGCACAAAGUAGGUACAAGACUGGAAUGAAGAACAGCAUUGUACACCUUGAUAGUAACGCCUCCUCCCCUGCGCUGUGUAUCUGCAGAAAGGAGCUCCAUUCUGCAGCAGAGGAGGCAUUACUGUGAGGAUCCAGGCCAACGUCAAUGUGCACCAGUUGCUUGGGAAUACCCCACAGUGCAACAAGCUUAACAUUUGUAUAUACAGAAGACUGGAAAUUACAAAAAAGAUCAGAAGCACGGAGCAAAGAGCUAGAGUACCUCUCGCGAGAAUUGAUGACUAUGUAUUUUGGUGGUGGGUGCACGGUAGGGAUACUUGAGAAAGGGGGCGUGACCUCCGAAAUGUCUGAAGUGUCCGGCGCUCACUCAGUGGUUUCCCUUUGUGAGAGGAAGGUGUCUGUCCUCUAAACUCUGCAUGCCCGAGGAAGGGUGAAGAUUGGUCGGAGUUAACACGGACUAUCGCGAAUAUCAGUGAGCACUUCUGGUGACUAUUUUUUGUAAUUUGUAUAUGCCUAUUGCCUGAAGGCAGCUACUAAAGAAAAAAGC
This is a long non-coding RNA of Hyla sarda, 577 nucleotides long. RefSeq lists it as uncharacterized. Lineage: Eukaryota; Metazoa; Chordata; Amphibia; Anura; Hylidae. The transcript has 2 exons. The record is from RefSeq and is a predicted model, not a curated record.